Molecule: ribosomal RNA, 425 nt
Filed under: uncultured bacterium
Lineage: Bacteria
Description: bacterial SSU rRNA
Rfam family: Bacterial small subunit ribosomal RNA
Source: RNAcentral
GAAUUUUGGGCAAUGGGCGAAAGCCUGACCCAGCAACGCCGCGUGCAGGAUGAAGGCCCUCGGGUCGUAAACUGCUGUCGGGAGGGAAGAACAGCAGCGGGAGGAAAUGACCGCUGCCUGACGGUACCUCCAAAGGACACGCCGGCUAACCCCGUGCCACCAGCCGCGGUAAUACGGAGGGCGCAAGCGUUGUUCGGAAUUACUGGGCGUAAAGCGCGUGUAGGCGGUCUGGCAAGUCGGUCGUGAAAUCCCCGGGCUCAACCCGGGAACUGCGUCCGAAACUGCUGGGCUAGAGUUCCGGAGAGGAAGGCAGAAUUCCCAAUGUAGGGGUGAAAUCCGUAGAUAUUGGGAGGAAUACCAGUGGCGAAGGCGGCCUUCUGGACGGUGACUGACGCUGAGACGCGAAAGCGUGGGGAGCAAACAGG